RNAcentral lists this ribosomal RNA (240 nucleotides) under Candidatus Rifleibacteriota bacterium. RNAcentral describes it as "partial 16S ribosomal RNA". It matches the Rfam family "Bacterial small subunit ribosomal RNA", at positions 1 to 213 of the family's 1533-position model. The record is from RNAcentral. Lineage: Bacteria; Candidatus Rifleibacteriota.
UUUGUGAAGAGUUUGAUCCUGGCUCAGGACUAACGCUGGCGGCGUGCCUAACACAUGCAAGUCGAACGUGCUUAGGUUUGGUAGCAAUAUUGAUUCUAAGAAAGUGGCGAACGGGUGAGUAACACGUAGGUGAUCUACCUUGGAGAAAUGUUAAUCGCCCGAAGAUUUUCGUAAAAUGAAAGCUCGUCGUCAGGAUGAAUAAAUUCAUUUGGAGAACGGCCAACUAAUUCGGUGGGUUCA